RNAcentral lists this ribosomal RNA (326 nucleotides) under uncultured eukaryote. RNAcentral's name for it is "partial 18S ribosomal RNA". It matches the Rfam family "Eukaryotic small subunit ribosomal RNA", at positions 1470 to 1796 of the family's 1831-position model. The record is from RNAcentral.
CCCUUAGAUGUCCUGGGCCGCACGCGCGCUACACUGAUGCAAUCAACAAGCACCCAACCUUGGUCGAGAGGCCUGGGUAAUCUUGUGAAACUGCAUCGUGAUGGGGAUAGAUGCUUGUAAUUUUUCAUCUUCAACGAGGAAUUCCUAGUAAACGCGAGUCAUCAGCUCGCAUUGAUUACGUCCCUGCCCUUUGUACACACCGCCCGUCGCACCUACCGAUUGGAUGGUCCGAUGAAAUCUCCGGACUGCGCGAUGCUGCCUUCACGGGCGGCUCGCGCGGGAAGCUGAUUAAAUCUUACGAUCUAGAGGAAGGUAAAGUCGUAACA